This 253-nucleotide ribosomal RNA is filed under the name uncultured bacterium. RNAcentral's name for it is "partial 16S ribosomal RNA". It matches the Rfam family "Bacterial small subunit ribosomal RNA", at positions 524 to 776 of the family's 1533-position model. The record is from RNAcentral.
UACGGAGGGUGCAAGCGUUAUCCGGAUUCACUGGGUUUAAAGGGUGCGUAGGCGGGCAGGUAAGUCCGUGGUGAAAUCUCCAAGCUUAACUUGGAAACUGCCGUGGAUACUAUUUGUCUUGAAUAUAGUGGAGGUGAGCGGAAUAUGUCAUGUAGCGGUGAAAUGCUUAGAUAUGACAUAGAACACCCAUUGCGAAGGCAGCUCGCUACACUAUUAUUGACGCUGAGGCACGAGAGCGUGGGGAUCAAACAGG